GCAAAAUAAUGCCCUCUGCCCGAGAUGUCCAUUCCCAAUCCUCAGAACCUGGGAAUGCAUUACCUUACAUAGCAAAGGCAAUUUACAGAGAGAGCAAUCCCCAACCAGCCUUCUGCACCCAACUCUCCAUCUCAGAGCCUGUUUCCUGGGAACCCAGGACAGGCGGAGCAUUUUUACUUAUUGAUGUGCAAUGAAAAGAGUCUUGGAUGCAGUGACAGUGACUGAACAAUUCUGCAAGGUUGAAGGCUAAGAAUAAGGCUUCUGUUACCAAAUAGAGGGAUGAAGAGAAGAAAUUUAGCAAGAACAAAGUUUGGAAAGAACGGCAUUUCCCAAAUUUAUUUCCUGGGAACUAUGUAUGCCUUUGGAAUGCUUCAUGGCCUGAGAAAUGUUCCCGCACAGAAUCAUGUGUAUAACCAAGGUAGAUUUGGUCUUGAAAAUGCCUAUUUCAUUUCACCAACAGCCAAAGUGAGGCAUUUAUAAUGCCCAUUCAAAGCAAGAAAUAAUUCAUUAAAAGUCAAGUACCUAAAUACCACCCUUCACUCUGCAAGUUGCUUAACUUUUUAGGUAAGUUACUCAACCUCUCAGUGCAGCAUUUUCCUAAUCUAUAACAUGUCGGCAGUAAUAGUACCUCCCUCAGGGACUUGUGAGUAUCAAAUGACUUAACAAAUGUAAAGCUCUCAGAAUAGCUCCUGGAAUGUAAUAAACAUGAUAUAAGUGUGAG
This 721-nucleotide long non-coding RNA is filed under the name Equus caballus (horse). Its description in RNAcentral is "lncRNA (ENSECAG00000056807.1)". Lineage: Eukaryota; Metazoa; Chordata; Mammalia; Perissodactyla; Equidae. The record is from RNAcentral.